GUGGGGAAUUUUGGACAAUGGGCGCAAGCCUGAUCCAGCAAUGCCGCGUGCAGGAAGAAGGCCUUCGGGAUGUAAACUGCUUUUGUACGGAACGAAACGGUCCGGGUUAAUACCCUGGGCUAAUGACGGUACCGUAAGAAUAAGCACCGGCUAACUACGUGCCAGCAGCCGCGGUAAUACGUAGGGUGCAAGCGUUAAUCGGAAUUACUGGGCGUAAAGCGUGCGCAGGCGGUUUUGUAAGACAGGCGUGAAAUCCCCGGGCUCAACCUGGGAAUUGCGCUUGUGACUGCAAGGCUGGAGUGCGGCAGAGGGGGAUGGAAUUCCGCGUGUAGCAGUGAAAUGCGUAGAUAUGCGGAGGAACACCGAUGGCGAAGGCAAUCCCCUGGGCCUGCACUGACGCUCAUGCACGAAAGCGUGGGGAGCAAACAGGAUUAGAUACCCGGGUAGUCC
This 450-nucleotide ribosomal RNA is filed under the name uncultured bacterium. RNAcentral describes it as "partial 16S ribosomal RNA". It matches the Rfam family "Bacterial small subunit ribosomal RNA", at positions 354 to 796 of the family's 1533-position model. The record is from RNAcentral.